This 7377-nucleotide long non-coding RNA is filed under the name Canis lupus familiaris (dog). RNAcentral's name for it is "lncRNA (ENSCAFG00000052514.1, ENSCAFG00805012945.1, ENSCAFG00845017056.1)". The record is from RNAcentral. Lineage: Eukaryota; Metazoa; Chordata; Mammalia; Carnivora; Canidae.
UUUUUUAUUUUUUUAAUUUUUAUUUAUUUAUGAUAGUCACACACACACACACACACACAGAGGCAGAGACACAGGCAGAGGGAGAAGCAGGCCCCAUGCACCGGGAGCCUGAUGUGGGAUUCAAUCCCGGGUCUCCAGGAUCGAGCCCUGGGCUAAAGGCAGGUGCUAAACCGCUGCGCCACCCAGGGAUCCCGCACAUGACAAUUUUAGAAGAAACUAACAAUCACAACUGUGAAAUAUCAUUGCUAUUUGUAACUGUGAUGGAGAUGAUUUGUUACAAUUAUUAAGUCCCUCAGAACCCUUGCUGUUUCCCUGCCCCAUUAAUCUUGAGUGACCAUGGGAUUUGCUUUGAAUAAGGAUAUGUAGAUGAAACUGACAGAACACUAACUCUUAGAAAAAGGUUUGGAGAAUGUUUAUUUCUAUUUGCCCUCCUAAUGUCCUUUGGCAUGACAGAACAUGUUUCCAAAUGGGGCUGUCCCUCAAAAUGGGUCCCAGAUGAAAAAGAAACAUGGAGCAGUUCCAUAUUAUCACAGAACCCAGAACUUCAGCUCUCAACCCAAGCUGACAUGAUGAGAAGAACAACUAAAAACUUUGGUUAUUGCAACAUUCAGUUUGCUAUUUUGUGGCACAACCUAGUAAAAGUUGAUAAUAGUAUUUUCUUUCUACUUCUGUUUAGAAAUUUGUGUCAGUUUUGACACUUUACCCUACAGCCUACAAAAGCUCUUUAUAAGAGUUUUGGUAAUCACAAUUAUGAAAAAAAUUAAUUUAAUAAAAUAUCAAUUAAAAACUUAAAUGCAGACAGAAACUUGUACACUGAAAACUAUAAAACAUUGCUGAAAAUUAAAGAAGACAUUCAUAAAUGGAAAGACACCCUAUGUUCAUGGAUUGGAAGACUUAAUAUUGUUAUGUUGACCGUGAUACCCAAAGCAAUCUAUAAUUUCAAUGCAAUCCUCAUCAAAAUUUCAAUGGUGGCAAGUUUUGUUUGCUUGUUUAUUUCAGAAAGAGGGGAAACCCAAGCUAAAAUUCAUACGGAAUCUCAAAGGAUUCUUGAUUGCUACAACAAAUGGAAAAAGCUAGAGGACAACUACACCCUAAUUUCAAAAUUCAGCAGAACUACAGUGAUAAAAGCAGUGUGGUACCAGGAUAAACACACACAUGCACUGAUGGAACACAAUGGAGAGCCCAGAAACAAAUCCUCACAUUUUUGGUUAAAUGAUUUUGACUAGGUUGCUAAGACCAUUCAGUGGUGAAAAGACCAUAUUUUCAAAAAUGUUUCUGGAAAACUAGAUAUCCAAAUCCAAAAGAAUGAGGUUGGACUCUUAACUUACACCAUAUGUAAAAUCAACUGAAAGUGGAUCAAACACCUAAGUAUAAGAGCCACAACCAUGUAACAUUUAGAGGAAAUAAUAAGAAACAUGUACAUGGAUUCAGCAGUGAUUUCUUAGAUAUGACACCAAGCACAGGCAAUAAAAGAAAAAAUAGGUUAAUUGAACUUCAUCAAAAUUAAAAACUUCUUUGCACCAAAAGAUAUCAUUAAGAGAAUGAAAAGACAACCCACGUAAUGGGGAAAAACACUUGAAAAUCAUAUAUCUGAUAAGAGAUUUUUAUCUAAAAUGUACAACGUACCUACAAUUCAACAACAAAACAAACAAUUUAAUUCAAGAAUAGGCAAAGGAAGACUUGAAUAGACACUGCUCCAAAGAAGAUAUAUACAAAUGGCCGAUAAGCAUGUGAAAAGAUUCUCAAUGUCAUUAGUCACUACAGCAAUGCAAAUCAAAGCCAAAAUGAGAUACUGCUGUACAUCUAUUAAAAUAGAGUUUAUCAAAACAUGGAAAAUAACAAGCAUAGACAAGUAAGUUCAAACUUCCGUGCAUUGCUGGUGGGAAUAUAAAAUAGUACAGCCACUGUGGAAAAGAGUUUGGCAACUCCACUCUUAGAUAUAUACCUGGAAGAAUCCCAAACAACCCAGACACCUGUACACUAAUGCUCACAACAGCAUUAUUUACAAUAUCCAAAAGAUGGAAACAAUACAAAUGCCCAUCAAUGGAUGAUUAGACAAGCCAAAAAUGUAAUGCAGAUAAAUAUAAAAUAGCAUAUUAUUCAGCCUUGAAAAGAGUGAAAUUUUGAUACAUGCUACAACAUGGAUGAAACUUGAAGACAUAGCCAAGUGAAAUAAAAGGACAAAUACUAUAUGAGGCACUUAUUUGAGGUACCUAGAAUAGGCAAUUCAUAGACACAGAAAGUAGACUAGAGAUUACCGAGGCCUGGGGGAAGAAGAGAACGGGAGUUAUUGUUCAAUAAUCCAAUUGUUCAUAACUACAUAUAGUCACAGUUAUAUGUAGUCAUAUUAUUAGAACUAUAUUGUUAAUAACUACAACUAUAUUGUUAACAGGUACAAAUUUCUUGCAUGAUGCAAAAGUUCUGAAGAUAGUCAUGGUGGCUACACAACACUGAAUGAACUUAAUGAAACUGAAUUGUACAGUUAAAAUGGUUAAAGUGGUAAAGUUUAUAUUAUAUAUAUUUUAUCACAAUAAAAAAGAGAUUGGUAGAUCUCUGACAUGGCAAACUGGAAGUCAGAUUAUUUAUUGAGUGUAGUGUGUCUCAGAUGCUGUGUUAGGCAUUUAACCCAUCUUACUUUAUUUGAUGAUUACAAAAACUCUAGGUGAGGGUAUUCUCUCUGUCUUAAUAGAUGAGGAAUAUGAAAAUAAGGGAUGUUGAAUAAUUUGAACACAGCUAUACUAUGUGACAGAAUCCAGGGUCUGAUCUAUGAUGGCCUGAACACUAAAGCCCAUAUUCUAGCUUCGCAUGCUGCCUUCCACAUAAUCAUUUCCAUCCCCACCUUUGUUUCCAGAAUACUGAAUGUUUUAAAGGGUGUAGUUACUUUUGUUGAGUCUUCUAUUUUUUGAGCACUUACUUGUGCAAAUCUGUAAGUUAAUUUGUGUUCUGUUUUCACAUAUAAAAAGUAAGACUUACUACUUGUUAAUCUCUCUAAUGAUAAUAGAGAUAGGUUGAUACUAUAUGGUAUUAUUACUGCUGGCUUUAAAGUGAGACUGUUGGGGUCGCCAGGGUGGCUCAGUGGGUGAGUGUCUGCUUUAGGCUCAGGGCGUGAUCCUGGAGUCUUGGGAUCGAGACCCACAUCAGGCUCCCUGCAUGGAGCCUGCUUAUCCCUCCGCCUGUGUCUCUGCCUCUCUCUGUCUCUCAUGAAUAAAUAAACAGAAUCUUGUAAAAAAAAAUGAGAUUGUUGGUUCAAUCUUGGCUCCACUGAUUGACUUGCUAUGUGAUAAUGGACAGGUCACUUAACCUAUCUGUAUUUCAGUCCUUUCACCUUCAAAAUAAAGAUUAUAACAUUACCUUACUAUAUGACUCAUAUGAGGAUAAAGUGAGAUUAAUUAUUUUUUUUAAAGAUUUUAUUUAUUUAUUCAUGAGAUACACAGAGAGAAGCAGGCUUCUUGCAUGGAUCCCAAUGGUCAACUGGUUUUUGCUUAAUUUUGCCUGACUUUGCUUCUGUAAUAGUGGAAGAAAUACAUUCAAGCAUUGUACACAUAAUUCUAAGGGUUAUGAGACAGCCAGAUAUAAUCUAAUUGUAGAAUUAUACAAAUAAUCAAUGUUAACAAGUAAAUUAGAAGACUGAAUUAUUUAAGUUAAAUACAGUCACAUAUAAUCUAAUACCUGCUAAAAAUAAUAAAUCUAUAUUCCAUAAUUUGGAUUUUUGAAUUUAAUUUUGAAAUGUUUGCCUUCAGAUUCACAGAGCUCUUCCAGGUAACUGGUGUUUCAAGCUAACCUUGGGUUGAGAUUAUGAGGAGAUUAAAUAUGACAGUUCUUAAAGAUCAUUAAUAGAAUGAAGGCAUCCUACCAAGUAUAAUCAGAAGAAAUAUACAAGCAGUUAAAAGGGGACACAUUUGAAGUAGAAGUUAUUUCAUUUCAUUUUUGUGUUUAGAGUCAUUUCAGUCUUCCAAAAUUUUUAAAAGGAAAGACUUGUAGAGUCUUAGUGUUGAACACAUGUAAAGUGAAUCAUAGUUGAAAAGUGACAAUGGAUAGGUAGAAGGUGAGAUAAUAUCUUGUCCUUUCUUAUACAUAUUUUCUAAAUGUUUUUUAUUGUAAGAUAACAAUAAAUAUUAUUAACUUACAUUUAUUGUAAUGCCUGUCCAUUCAGAAAUUAAUUUCACAUAAUCUCAUGUGAUUUAUACAAGUGAGUCAAAACAGUGUAAGUUUAUUUUUCUAUUGUUUUGCAUGCAGUGUAGAGAUCACCUUGAAUUUUAAUAGCCCACUGAGGACUAACCAUCUUUACUCUGAUUUUCAGUGCUGUGUUAGUUGUUUGUCUUGGCAAUAAGUCUCUGUGUGUGCAUGUGUGUGCAUGUGUGUAUUUUUGACCUUGUAUAUAAUUGUGCAGACAUUUAAUUGUGCAGAUUUAAUUUUAUUUAUAAAUCUUCUCUAAGGAUCAAAAAAAAAAAAGAUCUUCUCUAAGGUAAUAAGUCAUCAUUCAGCUAUCUACAUGAUUCCCAGUAUUUGCUGAGUAUGAAGGGAUGUUGGAGGAUGGAAAUGAGAAAAAGAAAUAAGUCUGGAAAGCAAUAACGUGUUAGUAAUAAGAGAGAGGGAUUUGGAGUUACAAAACUGAGUUCAGAUACCACUUCCAUCCUUGACCCAUUAGAUAUCCUUGGGGAAGUUACUUAAACUGAGUGAGUUUCCCAUAUUUAAAGAGGAAUAUUAAAAUUUACAUAACUGGAUCACUCGAUUACAUCAAAUUAUAUUAAACAAAAUUAAAUUAUAAGCUUGGCAAAAAAUAGAUAAUUGCUAGUUGUUAGUUUCCUUCUCCCGUACUUGGCAAUCUUGAAGUUUGGUGUUAUCUACACAUGUUUAUCACUGAUUUAAAAAAAGAUUAUUUCAUUUUUCCAAAUGUUGGGGUAAGAUAGUCUUUAAAAAUAGAAGCUUAAUUUAAAACCAAAUAAAGAAACUAAUUAUUUCUUUUAUCAAAUCCUGCCAAAUGAGAAAGCUCAUUUCUUUUAAUAAAAAUCCCAUUAAUAUGAGGGACUUAAUUUAAUUCUAUUUUCUCCCUUCUGCACUCAUGAACAUUCAUUAAAUGUUAGUUUAUUUUUAUAUUAAAAAGCAGCAUUAGAUUUAUGUCUUAAUUACCUUGGAUUUAUUAUUAAAAGAAACAUACCCUAAGAAUAUUGAUAGAACUAUGAGAAAACUUCUUUUAGUGAAUUAUUUGAAAAACAAAGUCCUUGUCUUGUAUGCCAUAGGUAUCCAAUAUAUUUGUUGAUAACAUUGGGAAAGACUAUACAUGAAAGUUGGAGUUAUCAAUGUCUUGCUGACAAGUAUGUAAAAACAGGGGUUUGGAUUAAUAAAAUUAACUGAUUCAUCUUGAAAUUGCUGCCUGUAUUAUAGGUCACUGUCUAAAGAGAACCUGGGUCAUUAUAACAGUAGGAGAUUGAGGGACCUGGGAACUAAACCUGAUUAAAGGUAUCUAGUCACUGAACAAAAGUAUGUUUCCCAAUACUGCUAAAGUUAAUACACAAAUAAUGAAAGAUUAAAGACUACAAAGCUACAAUGCCUAGGUGACUCAGUGAUUGAGCAUCUGCCUUUGGCUCAGGUCAUGAUUCCGGGAUCCUGGGAUCGAUUCCUGUAUCAGGAUCCCCACAAGGAGCCUGCUUCUCCCUCUACUUAUGUCUGAGGCCUCUCUCUCUGUGUCUCUCAUGAAUAAAUAAAUAAAAAUCUUUUUAAAAAAUUAAAAACUACAAAGACUACAAAGCUUUUUAGCUACAAAUAAUAGAGUAACAUUUUCACAAGUGUAGGUAUCAAACCAUCCUACUUUUUCCCGAUUACAAUACCCUCCAGAUUACAAACGUCCUCCAGAUUUAGUAUGUGUCAGAGAGGAAGGCUCAAUAAUUCUACCCUUUGCAAUUCUGGGAUUAUUUUUGUUUCUCUGUGGCUGUGAGACCAGAUUCUUGUUACAUUGGGGGUGUCUCUUAAGCUUUUUCUGGAUUGAAAUUAUCCUAUUUUGUUUGAUUUCAUGUGAAACCAAUUUCAGGGAGAUUUCCUAGAGCAUAGGACUCAUUUAGUAAUGCUUUACUUAAUUAAAUAAUUAAUUAUUCAACAUAAAGUUAUUAAUUCAAUGCUUACUACCAACAAAGCAUAUUUCAUAGGCUAAGAAUGUGUUAUUGAAACCAAGCAAAAUUGUUGACCACAUGGAAUAUUUGGAGUAUUGAGCAAGGCACAUAGUAAACAAACAAAACAAACAUAUAUUUACUGGUAAAUGUAAAUGAAGAAAAUAAAUCAUGUUAAAAUGUAUAAGAAGUAGAACCUGUGCUAGUUAAGAUAAUGUGAUAAGGAAAGUCUUAUCUGAGAGGCUGACUUUUCAUUGAAUAUUUAAAUGAAAUGGAGGGGCUAGUUAAAAGAAUAUCAGAGGUUGGGGCAAUUCUAGGCAGAGUUAAUAGCAAUUUUAAAGACCUUGAGAUAGGUGUGUUUAAGGGAUGUCAUGGAGGCAUGUGUGUACCGUUAAGUUGAGCAAAGGAAAGAGUAGGAAGAAGGAUAGCCAGGAAGCAUAGGUCAUGAGGAUCUUGUGAACCUUGGCAAGAAUUUUUUAAUGUUAUUUUGUACUGUUUACAACCAGGGCAGGGUUUUGAGCAGUGAGCUGUUAUAAUCAGGUUUAUAUUUUAAAAGGUGAACUUAUGCUGCUCUGAGGUAAACUUAGGAUGCAACGGUGAAGCAGGGAGAUCAGUUAAGAAGUGAUUGCUAUAGUUCAGGAGAGAGUGUAUGGCUGUCUGGAUCAUAGUAAAGGAUAAAAAACACUAUAUUGUGUCAGGUACCCAGAAUUUCGUGAGUCAUUCCAUUUUGCAAAGAUUGUAUAUUACAUUAAUAAUCUAUAGAACAUAAAUAUAAGUGAAUAAUUUUUCACCAAUUUGUAAGAGAAAUAUAAAAUUAUCAAAAGAGGUUCAUAAAAGGUCAAAUGAGAAAUUAAUAUGGUGCCUUUGUGCCUCCUCCUAACCCCAUCAACAAGUUGAAAAUAGGAGCAAAAGUGUUGGUGAAGAGAAUUGCUACAAUGGGCCUUAGACUGUGCCUCCUCAUUACCAUGGUCUGCAGAGCAUUUGGGGAAUCUUCAGGUUUACUGAGGGCAUGGGGUGGUUGGAGGGUGACUGGUGACGGCAAAAGAGGAAGGAAUUGUGGGAGGUUCACAGCCCAUAUCUCAGAGGACCUGUUGUAUGAGAGAAAGCAUUAAGUAGAAACUCAGGAAGGGGAGGUGGUCAUCCACAUGUAUUGACAGAGUCAACAACAACAAAAAACCUGAGUUGUGCUGGUGUUGACAUUUGGUGACUAAGAAUAGAGAUGAUGCUGACAGGUAAGAUAAGACACUGGACAAAAAAAAGAAAAAAAAAAAAA